AUGCCAGGGGAGGGACACCUGCUAUACCCCAGCUAUACACAAUGAGCUGAAAGGAGAGGGCUGGGGCCAAGAUUCUGCCACAUCUUAUUUGUGUCGUGUUGGAGCCUCUCAUCAUAUGAGGGGAGAGACUGAUGCUUCCCAGUAAUGAAUGUUAAAACCCCCCCUAAGACCAAGAUGUGGGAUCCUUCUCCCAGAAACUGACUUUGGGCCAGGUUAGUUUUGCAUGUGCUGCCCCAGAGUGUGAUGGAGGAACAUCUACUACAGACCGCAUCUCGCAUUUCCCUUUGAGCUAUGUACCAUAUGGAGAAGUAGAAAAAUACAGCUUUACUGAUUAUUUACAUACUUGUGAACUAGAAUCCCUUCAGGGAUUGCAUGAAACUCACACCAGACUUCUGGCC
Molecule: long non-coding RNA, 398 nt
Filed under: Homo sapiens (human)
Lineage: Eukaryota; Metazoa; Chordata; Mammalia; Primates; Hominidae
Description: HSALNT0264472
Source: RNAcentral